GCUCCUGUAGCCCAAUUGGAAUGAGGCCGCCGCCUUAAAAGCGGUUGUUAUUUUGUGUGGGUUCGAUUCCCUCCAGGAGCA
This 81-nucleotide transfer RNA is filed under the name Cyanobacteria bacterium UBA11371. RNAcentral's name for it is "tRNA-Leu". It matches the Rfam family "tRNA". From Rfam's summary of the family: Transfer RNA (tRNA) molecules are approximately 80 nucleotides in length. Their secondary structure includes four short double-helical elements and three loops (D, anti-codon, and T loops). Further hydrogen bonds mediate the characteristic L-shaped molecular structure. tRNAs have two regions of fundamental functional importance: the anti-codon, which is responsible for specific mRNA codon recognition, and the 3' end, to which the tRNAs corresponding amino acid is attached (by aminoacyl-tRNA synthetases). tRNAs cope with the degeneracy of the genetic code in two manners: having more than one tRNA (with a specific anti-codon) for a particular amino acid; and 'wobble' base-pairing, i.e. permitting non-standard base-pairing at the 3rd anti-codon position. The record is from RNAcentral. RNAcentral also lists the same sequence under 2 other names. Lineage: Bacteria; Bacillati; Cyanobacteriota.